UUACGGCCAUGUCAUAUUGAAACGCUUGUCCCCGUACGAUCACCGAAGUUAAGCAACGUUGAACCUAGUCAGACACUAGAUGCAUGACCGCUUGGGAAUACCUGGUGCUGUAAG
Non-coding RNA from Acanthosepion pharaonis, 114 nucleotides. Lineage: Eukaryota; Metazoa; Mollusca; Cephalopoda; Sepiida; Sepiidae. The record is from the annotation of a GenBank genome assembly.